Molecule: ribosomal RNA, 834 nt
Filed under: Rhodococcus coprophilus
Lineage: Bacteria; Bacillati; Actinomycetota; Actinomycetes; Mycobacteriales; Nocardiaceae
Description: bacterial SSU rRNA
Rfam family: Bacterial small subunit ribosomal RNA
Source: RNAcentral
GGCUCAGGACGAACGCUGGCGGCGUGCUUAACACAUGCAAGUCGAACGAUGAUGCCCAGCUUGCUGGGCGGAUUAGUGGCGAACGGGUGAGUAACACGUGGGUGAUCUGCCCUGCACUUCGGGAUAAGCCUGGGAAACUGGGUCUAAUACCGGAUAUGACCACAGGAUGCAUGUUUUGUGGUGGAAAGGUUUACUGGUGCAGGAUGAGCCCGCGGCCUAUCAGCUUGUUGGUGGGGUAAUGGCCUACCAAGGCGACGACGGGUAGCCGGCCUGAGAGGGCGACCGGCCACACUGGGACUGAGACACGGCCCAGACUCCUACGGGAGGCAGCAGUGGGGAAUAUUGCACAAUGGGCGAAAGCCUGAUGCAGCGACGCCGCGUGAGGGAUGACGGCCUUCGGGUUGUAAACCUCUUUCAGCAGGGACGAAGCGCAAGUGACUGUACCUGCAGAAGAAGCACCGGCUAACUACGUGCCAGCAGCCGCGGUAAUACGUAGGGUGCGAGCGUUGUCCGGAAUUACUGGGCGUAAAGAGUUCGUAGGCGGUUUGUCGCGUCGUGUGUGAAAUCCCGCAGCUCAACUGCGGGCUUGCAGGCGAUACGGGCAGACUUGAGUACUGCAGGGGAGACUGGAAUUCCUGGUGUAGCGGUGAAAUGCGCAGAUAUCAGGAGGAACACCGGUGGCGAAGGCGGGUCUCUGGGCAGUAACUGACGCUGAGGAACGAAAGCGUGGGUAGCGAACAGGAUUAGAUACCCUGGUAGUCCACGCCGUAAACGGUGGGCGCUAGGUGUGGGUUUCCUUCCACGGGAUCCGUGCCGUAGCUAACGCAUUAAGCG